Molecule: ribosomal RNA, 253 nt
Filed under: uncultured bacterium
Lineage: Bacteria
Description: partial 16S ribosomal RNA
Rfam family: Bacterial small subunit ribosomal RNA
Source: RNAcentral
UACGUAGGGUGCGAGCGUUAAUCGGAAUUACUGGGCGUAAAGCGCACGUAGGCGGCUUUGCAAGUUAGAGGUGAAAGCCCGGAGCUCAACUCCGGAAUUGCCUUUAAAACUGCAUCGCUAGAAUUGUGGAGAGGUGAGUGGAAUUCCGAGUGUAGAGGUGAAAUUCGUAGAUAUUCGGAAGAACACCAGUGGCGAAGGCGACUCACUGGACACAUAUUGACGCUGAUACACGAAAGCGUGGGGAGCAAACAGG